AGAACAUCUCGUAGGGCGCGAGAUGGGUAAAAUAAAAAAUGCCCACCGAGA
This 51-nucleotide non-coding RNA is filed under the name unclassified sequences. Its description in RNAcentral is "6A RNA". It matches the Rfam family "6A RNA". Rfam says of the family: Actinobacteria (1 example), Firmicutes, Fusobacteria. Terminator (Clostridia) The record is from Rfam by way of RNAcentral.